CACGGGGGUUGCGAGCGUUGUCCGGAAUUACUGGGCGUAAAGCGUGCGUAGGCGGUUUGUUAAGUCGGAUGUGAAAGCCCCGGGCUCAACCUGGGAUGUGCAUCCGAUACUGAUAGGCUAGAGUGUAGCAGAGGAAGGUGGAAUUUCCGGUGUAGCGGUGAAAUGCGUAGAGAUCGGAAGGAACAUCAGUGGCGAAGGCGACUUUCUGGGCUAACACUGACGCUGAGGUACGAAAGCGUGGGGAUCAGACAGGAUUAGAUACCCUGGUAGUCCACGCUGUAAACGAUGUCAACUAGCCGAUGGAGAUCUUGUAUCUUUGGUGGCGCAGCUAACGCAUUAAGUUGACCGCCUGGGGACUACGGCCGCAAGGCUAAA
Molecule: ribosomal RNA, 375 nt
Filed under: uncultured bacterium
Lineage: Bacteria
Description: bacterial SSU rRNA
Rfam family: Bacterial small subunit ribosomal RNA
Source: RNAcentral